Equus caballus (horse) is the source of this 7830-nucleotide long non-coding RNA. Lineage: Eukaryota; Metazoa; Chordata; Mammalia; Perissodactyla; Equidae. The record is from Ensembl.
CGUCACGAAAAUCCUUCCUCAAACCCUGAGAGGGUGUGAGCGCCAGACUCCACGUGGCCCUGCUGCAGCCUGCAAUAAGGAGCCCCGGGAGUCCCUGACCAUCAGGGUUGCCCACUUUCUCUCUUCCGAAGGGCUCGGGCCAGGCGAGCCGGAAGUCCCAGAUCUCGCGACAUCUGGCCGCAGGAAGCGGCGCCUGUGGGUUGGGGCGAGUUUGGAGCUCGGUGGAGGCGCCGCGGUCUCCAGACACAGCCCUCUGCUCCGCAGCGGCAGCUCUGCGUCUGCACUAGGGGCCCUGGAGGACAGACGCCUGUGCGGUUCGUCCCGUCCCACCGCCCCGCCCGGCGGCGCCCUCUAGGCCUGCGGGCCCGGCUGGCUCCAGGCGUCUGGCCUUCCGCCGGGCCUGGCGGGCGGCGCUGCUCCGCCGACGAGGCAGCUGGGAGCCCGGAGAGCCAGAGCCCAGAGGGCCCUCCUGCCGCCUCGGGGCUGCCGUUGCCGCUCACUGAGGAGGGCCCCUCCGCAUGGCUUUCUUGGUCCCCCGAGAGGGGGCUUUGUCUUGGAACGGCAAUCGGCACGUGUCUGCCUGUCUCUCUGCCCCCUCUGAACCUCACAGCGGCCUCUGCUCUGGCAAGUCCUCAGUUUACCCCUUCUUACACACCCGAGGGCGCAGCGCCACCAGAGGGCUCUGGCUGGGCCCACCCUCCACCCGCUGGACCGAAACCCAGCCCGUGGGCGACUCUAAAGUGAAAAGUAAAGUGAAUCUUAAUAACAACCACCAAAACAGAAACGCCAAACAAACAGAAACACGUGGACAUAUUAUAAAACGCAAAACCAAAGAAAAAGAGAAAAUCUUGAAAGAAUCCAGGAGAACAAAACAUUUGACCCAUGAAGGAGCAAGGAUAAGAAUUACAGUGAAUUUAUCAUCAUAAACUGUGUAAGCAAAAAGAUAGUGGAGUGAAAUCUGAAAGUAUUAAAAGAGAAAAAGGUCAAUCUGGAAUCCUAUAUCCUGUCAAACUAUACUUAAAAGGAGGAAGAGAAUAAAUACUGUGCCAAACGAAAUCUGAAUGAAUUCUUUGUCAGCAGACAUGACCUGCAAGAAUUCUUAAAGUUUUCGGGCAGAAUAUAAUAUAGUCAGAAAUCUGCAUCUAUAUAGAAAAGAAAGUGUGUUGGAGAAGAAGUAAAUGAAGGUCUGGCCUGCUGGCUUUGGGAGUGCGAUUUAUCCCAUUGGCUCUCCUGAUUCUCAGGGCUUCAGACUCGGAGUGAACCUACAGUCUGCUCUCCUGGGUCUCCAGCUUGCCGACUGCAGAUCUCGGGACUUCUUAGCCUCCAUGAUUGCAUAGAGAAAGUGAGUCACAGUGUUCCUCAGGGACUUGCCCAUGGUGAAGGAAUGGCUAAGCUGGAAAAAAAUAACAUCUGAAAUCACCCACUAAAAGUCUCUGAUCCAAAAGGCGACUGUGGCCCAGCCUCCCUGUAUUCCUCAGAUGACCCGGGAACUCAUAUUUGUUCAUCUUCGCUUUGUGAAGAAAUUCCUAAAAAAAAUCUUGAUGAAAACAUUCAUGCUUAAGGCUGAGACGUGCUGCAGAAAAUAUGUUAAUACUCUUAUUUUAAUAGGAGACAAUGAUUUAAACCAAAAGAAUAUUGGAGAGAAGUAAGAUUUCUUUUCUUCUAUGGCAAGAGUUGGUGAAGAAAUGGAGAGAUAAACAUAUAAUUUAGUACCUGCUCUGUUCAGUCACAUUACUAUGUAUUUGUCAUGUGUUACCUUACAUGGAUUGAAUUUUGUUCCCCCCAAAUUCAUGUCCAUCCCAAACCUAUAAAUGUGACUUUAUUUAGAAAUAAGGUCUUUGCAGAUGUAAUCAAGUUAAGAUGAGGUCGUACUGGAUUAGAAUGGGCACUAAAUCCAAGAUUAUGGCUAUCAUUAUAGAAAGAGGGAAAUUUUAAUACAAACACACAAAAAGGAGACUGUCAUGUGAACACAGAGGCAGAAAUUGGAGUUAGGCUGCCACAAGCCAAGAAAUGGCAAAAAUUGCCAACAACCACCACAAGCUGGAAAAUGUGUUUUUGUUAUGGCAGUCCUGGGAAACUAAUACGUUGACUAGCUCAGAAUCCUAACCAUGGAAGUUUCAGAGGUGGGAAAGUGAGUUUUGAGAGAUUAAAUGAUUUGUUCUAAGUUAUAUAGAAUCAUGAGGAGUGAGACUGUAAUUUUAAAUGAAACAUUGUUUUUUGAACUAAGUUCAUGCUACUACCGUUAUCUUAGUUGGCUGAUAUUUUUGGAAUCUCUAAAUUUAUGAUAUAGAGGGAGGUAGAUUUAUUCCUAAAAUUCUCCUGAAUAUGCAAUUUACUCAUAGGUGUGUGCGUGCACACACACACUUUCAAUCAUGUUGCUUCAUACCUAAUAUGAAUAGUUUAAUUAGCCUUAUUAAAGGACCAGGUUUUAUAAUCACAAGACAAAUUAUUAGGAGAAAGAACCCAGCAUCACACUAUAAGAGUAAACUAGUUGAAUAGUUGACAUACUAAUAGAUGUUUGAGUAGAAAGAGUAGCUAGAAUUAAAAGAAAUUAAGAUCAGUGCUAAAACUAUGUCAUUGUACAGGGGAGCAGAGUCGAUGUAUCUAAUUCACAUUCAUUUUAAUUAAUUUCAAAUGAAAUCCACAAUGAGAUAUCACCUCACACUCGUCUAAUGGCUAGUAUUAAAAAGAAAAAAAAAUAAAAAUAUUUGGAGAGGAUGUGGUGAAAAUGUAACCCUCAUAUACUGUUGGUGGGAAUGUAAGUUGGUGCAGCCACUAUGGAAAACAGUAUGGAGAUUCCUCAAAAAAUUAAGAAUAGAACUACCAUAUGAUUCAGCCAUUGCACUUCUGAGUACUUCUCUAAAGAAUAUGAAAACACAAAUUCAAAAAGAUAUAUGCAUCCCUAUGUUCAUUGCAGCAUUAUUCACAAUAGCCAAAGCUUGGAAACAACUAAGUGCCCAUCGACAGAUGAAUGGGUAAAGAAGAUGUGGUAUAUAUAUACAAUUCAAUACUACUCAGCCAUAAAAAUAGUGAAAUCUUACCGUUUGCAACACCAUGGAUGGAACUUGAGGUUAUUAAGCUAAGCGAAGUAAGUCAGAUGGAGAAAGACAAAUAUGGUGUGAUUUCACUCAUAUGUGGAAGAUUAGAAAAACAACAAACACAUACAGAUACAGAAAAUAGAUUGGUGGUUACCAGAGGAAGGGGGGUGGAGGGAGGGCAAAAGGGGUCAAGAGGGAUAUUUGUACAGUGAUGGAUGGGAACUAGACUUUUGGUGGUGAACACAACAUAGCAUGUACAGAAGUUGACUUAUAAUGAUCUACACCAGGAAUCUAUAUAAUGUUAUAAGUCAAUAUCACCUCAAUAAAAAAUAUUAGGGUAUGGUGAAUGAGAUGACAUUCCUGUCCCCUUUAGGCAGAAACUUUCUCAGUAAAGGGCAGAAAAUAGAGAGAGUGAGCAAGAGAGAGAGACAAAACACAUAUUUAAGUCAGAAUUAUAGGAGUGAUUGAUACUUUUGGUAGCAUGUGAUCAUUAUCUCAGAACAAUGCUUGGCAUAUAAUAGAUAAUCAAUAAGAUCGUAUUGAAUAAUUUAAUGAAUGAAGAUCAUGGUUCACAGGGAGUAUCCUACUCCAAAAGCUACAAAUCCUUGUUGGCCUUAUUGCUGGAAAUUAUAUACAUAUAAGACUUCCCGAGCCAUCUAUAUUUGCUUUCUGGUCUGCUGUCUGUUCUUUUUUUCCUUGAGUCAUCUCAAGAUGUUUGUAUGAGUUAUAGAAGAUUCCUAAUCUGCGAGGCCCAUUGGGCUAAUACCACUUGAGUAUCAGUGGAAGGAAUAGGGCCCUGAUAUCGCCUUGUCUAUUUAAUGAUUAACCAACCAGCAGUCAACAGAAACCAGGCUGAACUGUUUAUUGAAUUUUUGUAUAUAAUGAAUGUGAGAAGUGACAAAUAAAUAAGGUACAACCACCACUACACAGGCACAAAAAUUCCCAAGGAUUUCGUACCAGGACACGUUCCUACUCUGCUACGCUCCUUUUUUCACAUGACCAGGACCUGCUUACUACCUCUCAGUGGACCAACUUCCCUGAGUAUAUCUAUGUCUUAUAGUCCAGGACAACUGACCCCAUCCCCAGAGUUGGUUAGUUGUUUUUGUACUCUGUGCUACAUGUGCAAUAGAUUGACAACACAAUCCUCAAAGUUCGGGGUAUGCAGUUUUAAAAAACAUCAUAUUAUGUCACCAACAGUCUGUUUAUUGGAUCUGCACCAAGAUUAGUCCAAUCUUUUUCCAGGCUUGCUCAUUAAGGGUUAAAAACAUCAUGGAAUGCUUCAUCUGUCUGGAAAAGUGAAUUAAAGUGGUUUCAGAAAUCAAAAUAAACAAAACAAACUCUAGAAAUAGUAAAAGAAAAAUCAAGGUUUACAUCGCUAGUAGAAGGUGACUGAAGGUCCAUGAAUAAGUUGAAGAGGUUGCUUGAGGAAAGCAUAUAAGGUGGUUAGCAAGAAAUUGAUACAAAUAAAGAAUAAAGUUGAUACAAAUAGGAGUGAGGAGAAAAAGAAAAUUAAUAUUGACUAAGCAACUAUUAUUUACAUGCUCCUUUUACAUAGAGUAUUUCAUAUAAAUAUUACAACGAGUCUGUGGAUUAGCAAAUAUAACUUUUUCAUUGUGGAGAUGAGGAAAUAGAAAAAUUAUGCAUACCACAUAGCUACUGAGGGAGGAAUUGUGAUUUAAGCACAGGUGUCCGUAACACCAAAACGUGUACUGGCAAUUGAAGGGGAAAAACAAUGUUGGUGUAAAUGAGGGAAUAAAAUAACUCAGUGGCUGAGGCUUCCAGAAAGGCAGAGUUUUUCCAGAGUAGGCAUAAACAGGGGUUUAAGAAUAUGAACUACCUUGAGCCAUAAUUAUUUAAGAUUCCUGUCAAUAACGUUGGGGGAAUCUGUCAGAAAAGAGGUAAAGACAUUUAGAAGUGGCAUGUAUCAACAGUAUUAUUUUUAGAGAAGAGAUGAGCACAAAAGGAGGAGUGUUUAAGGAUUUCUGAAGAGAGAAGCAAAUAGCAAAGUUAAUGAAUAUUGUGAGUUAAUGAAUAUUGCAUUUGAAGAGCAGAAUGGAAGUCUCAGAGGUAAGUCACAGAACUAUAAGAAUUUUGGUAAUAUUGUAGCAGAAAGUGUGAGGAAGUAAUGAUAAGGUUGGGGAGUUAGGCAAGGGAUAGAUGAGAAAGGCCCUUAAAUAAACUUAAUUCUAGAAUAACCUUGGCUAAAAAAUAGAGAAUGAUUAUGAAACAUAAGUACCAAUUAUACACUUUAAAAGAUAAGGUUUAUUCAAAUAGUUGAUAUGGAUUGGAAAAGUUUUAUAUUUAAAGGAUGUGUCUCAAUUAGCAUUAUAACGAAGAUUUGGCACGAGGAAGAACAUUUGCAGAAGUUUGCCUAGAGGGCAAUGUCACCAGUUGGGUAGUUUCAGAAAUUACGCAAUGAAAUGAAAACUCACUGGCAUGUUACUUAGGUGUGUGUUUGUUUGUUUGUACUAUUUAUGAGCUAUGGGUGGUUCAGUCUAAGCCAGAGACCUCCUUGAGAUCUGGAAUUUUAUUUGUUUUUAUCACCUAAGGGCAUGUGUGCCACAGAGUAAAUAUGAGUAUAUUUGUUUAAGUUUUACUUCCACAUCCAUUCCCUUUUUCCUCUCAAAGUCAUAGCCUAGAUUACCUGUGGGUGUUAAUGUGCUUCUGUCAUGUGCUUCCUGUGGAAUUGGCCCUGUCCCUAAUCUUGAGGAUAUGCAGGAGCAAGGAUGGGUACACAAGCUUGAAAAUCAGAGUAUAACCACAAUAAUUGUUUUUAUAAUAAGAGCCAAUGGGAUGCAUGAAGAUGUUGCUGUGAUUUCUGGGAAAAAUAAUUUCACUCUUUCUCUCUAGAAUUAAAAUGGAGCAUGAGAGUAUAUAAAGUAUGGAGCUACCAAAGUGACUUUUUACCAUGAGGACAGAGUUUGUGUAAACAUCAAGUUGUACCUAGACAAAAAGGAAUUAGCAUAUAGAGAAAAAAAACUCCCAUAAAGUUGUUAGAGGUCUUGCUUGAUUGUGCCUAAAGUCUGCCCUAGUCUUAAACUUUUCAGUUAUAUUACGUUUUUUUUUAAUGUAAGUGAAUCUGGGUUGGAUUUUCUGCCACAAUAGAGCUUUUGUUGAGUGAGUGUUGAAUAAAUGAUAGAAAAAUUUGCCAUGGGAGCUGGAUAGCUGUAUCAUUAAAUUAUUAAGUUUUAGAACAGGAAUGUUUAACCUAGUGUCCAUGUACUGCAUAUACUAGUGGCCUGCAACAGGCCCCCCAUCAAUUGUAUGCAAAAUUUUGAGAAGGCAUGCAUCUCCAUCUUCUUGUGAAAGACAAACAUUUUCAUCACAGUCUUGAAGUUUAUGACUGUAACUUUGAAAGGAAAACCAAACGCAGAAAGCAUAAAAUUAGAGUAGAUCAGCAUUUGCAUGUUAUUUAUUUAUAUCUACAGAACUGUUGAAAAGCAAUUUUCAAAAACUAUUAAAUUUGAAUGCUAAAAUAUGUAUUAAAUACCAUCCCCCCAUUUUUAACCUGAAUUCAAAGUGAGUCUCUUCAAAGCAAGUUGAUUUUUAUUUUCAGAUAUAAGAUGUUCAGGUUUAAUUGACUUCAGAUCAUUACAAAAUCAAUUAUCCCCUUAGAUAAGAUUAAGAUAGCACUGGUACUUGUAGUUGUGGUGACAUAUUUACAACCAACUUUUGACAGAGACAUAUGCAUUUUUUGAAAUAGCAACAAAUUAGAGAUCAAAUUGAGAAGUUUCAUAUAUGGUAGCCUUUUGAGGAACAAAUUGAAGCUUACUCUAAAAAUAUUUUGUAAAGGUAUAAAAUAUAAUUUUCAUGAUUAUUGUGACUCUGUCUUGUUUUCUAUCUAAAUAAUUUAUGCCACAAGUUCCACAUUACAAAUACGCCAAUUGUUCAUCUUAAUAUUUUGUUUUUUAUGGAACUCUUUUGGGUGGAUUUUAGUCACUGAUUAGCUUGAUGAUUUUGUAUAAUGCAGUCAGCUAUUGGAAUGUGUACUCCAGGAUUUUUUCUUCAGUGUUAGCUAUUUUCUAUUUUUCUUCGUUUCUAUCAUUUCUUCAUUUCUAUCUAUUUUCACCACACGACAAAGGAUUUUUAACCAAAUAAUUCAGUCUUAUAUACAACAGUGGAGAAACACAAUUCGAAGGAGGAAAAUGAAAACAACUCUAGUAACCAGUUUGUCCUUUAGUUCAAAACAGAUUGUCUUACAAAUUCUACCUGAAUCCAAAUAACAAAUCAUGAAGCAAUUGCUUUUUGUUCAAAUAUAGUUUUUCAUAGUGUGCUUUUUCAGUGAACAUAGUUACAGCUGUAACAUGGAAUUUUUAAUGCAAUACAAAAGGCAGCUAUCCAAAGUUGAUUAUAUUGUGUGAGUAGUGUAAACUGCAGAUGUAUUUUCCUGUUUUCUCCAUUUAUAACAGCUAGAAAAUGACAAAGGCUGGUGAGAGCUAAUAAAUGAAAAUGACCAGAAAGCCUUUAUAGUUUACUGAUUAAAACUUGACUAGUACAAUGGGUACUUUCCAGGGGGUGGUCAUACAUUUUAAGGGGUCAUGCAAACCAAGUAAAGAAAUGUAUCCUUAUGUCAGAGGAGAAUAGAGAAGAUUCUAGGUGAAUUCAUAAGUAGUGAUUAGUCUAACAGAGUGAAUGAAGAGAGAAGUGCUUGAAGAAUAUGGUAUUACAAUGCUUGUGAAUACUCCACUCAACCCAUGAGUGUAAUUUAUUUUAAUAAAUAAAAUAUUAUGCUAACUUUGACCUUGGAAAUUGUGAAAUAUGGAGACUGUUAGGAAAUUUUGGAAAAACGAAC